AAUAUUUGACUUUGGGGGCAACCCUGAUCCAGCCAUGCCGCGUGUGUGAAGAAUGGCUUCGGAUUGUAAGGCACUCUAGUAUUGGAGGCAGGGCUUUAGGCUAAUACCCUGAAUUUUUGACGUUACCAACAGAAUAAGCACCGGCUAACUCUGUGCCAGCAGCCGCGGUAAUACAGAGGGUGCAAGCGUUAAUCGGAAUUACUGGGCGUAAAGCGCGCGUAGGUGGUUCAGUAAGAUGGGUGUGAAAUCCCCGGGCUUAACCUGGGAACUGCUUUCAUAACUGCUGAGCUAGAGUACGGUAGAGGGUAGUGGAAUUUCCUGUGUAGCGGUGAAAUGCGUAGAUAUAGGAAGGAACACCAGUGGCGAAGGCGACUACCUGGACUGAUACUGACACUGAGGUGCGAAAGCGUGGGGAGCAAACAG
RNAcentral lists this ribosomal RNA (423 nucleotides) under uncultured bacterium. RNAcentral's name for it is "partial 16S ribosomal RNA". It matches the Rfam family "Bacterial small subunit ribosomal RNA", at positions 360 to 775 of the family's 1533-position model. The record is from RNAcentral.